Pseudopipra pipra is the source of this 1619-nucleotide long non-coding RNA. RefSeq lists it as uncharacterized. The record is from RefSeq and is a predicted model, not a curated record. The transcript is spliced from 4 exons. NCBI's taxonomy places the organism in Eukaryota, Metazoa, Chordata, Aves, Passeriformes, Pipridae.
GAAAUUCUCUCAAUCCUGUAGUAACUCCACCCCAUUAGUUUGUUGGUUUGGAUCUUCACCUACUGCACUGUUGUGCUCCAAAUUUUCUCCUGGCCUAUGAAGGGACAGAAUUCUCCUUCUUUGCUUCUCUUUCCUUGCAUGCUUGCUGAGUACGGGUUCUUGCCUUCCCUUAAUGAGAGCUGUGCUUUCUGACUAACCUUGGAAUCAUUUACAUGCUCUUGUACUCUGCCCCCUGAAUUCUCUGUACUGACAGUUUAUCUGUUCAGAGUUGAAUAGUAGGGUAUAAUUUAUAGAUAUGUUUAUGUUGCAUAGGAUUAGAAUGUAAAUUUUUCAUAGCUUGCACAGGAAAUACAAAAGUGGGAAUCCCUUUAGUGUGCUUUCUCAGUUGCCUCAAGGUCCUUCAAAAUCCUGUUUCAAACCCACUUGCUUUCCCCCUUUGUUUGACGCUGUACUUAAACAGGACUCCACCUGCUAAGAAAGCAGGUUUUUCACUUUCUGUAUUGUGCCUAUGCUCUUUAGGGGCUUGGUUCAUCUAUUGUUAUUGUGACUUCAUUUACCACUUCAGCACUCCUUUGCACAAAGGCUUAGACAAACUUGGUGCCCACUGAGGUAGCUUGCUUAGCCUGCCUGCCCUUGGGUCAGGGCAGCAAUGUCGACAGAUAACCACUUCACCUGAGCCUGCUUCCCACAGAGAUGUGUUACAGUUCCCUUUCCCACACGCUCCUCCUUAAAGCAAAUAUGUGUCAACAUCCUAAUGGUCCCAAGAAUUUAUAAAUUAUAUAUAGACUGCCUGUAUCACCUUAUUUCUUCUUUGUCAAGGAUAUCUCAUUAGGAAAGAGGAAUGAAAACUGUAGGACUACCCACAAAUGAUGACUGAGUUAACAGAGCACUCAACAACUAAAGGAGCUGAAAAUAUGCAGGGAACUGAUGUGCUGGCACCCCAGAGAAGGAGAAAAGCUGCACCUCUUUCUUAUGUAGCAGAAACAUUUCUCUGUGGACUGAAUGGUUGGAAGCUCAAGUGGAGAAAGCUCACUUGACAGGAAGCAGGCAAAUUGUCAUCUGCAGUCUAUUGAAGAAAAGAUUUGCAUUUUAUUCCUCCCUGGAGACAGGUUAUAAGAAAGAAGAAUUAGCAGGUAAAAUGGAGCAAGUCUGAAAUAAAGCACUUGUGUUGACUGUCCACCCUACCAUCAGUCUUCCCUUGCCAGCAAAUUCAGUGAAGCAAUAUAUUUUCAGACCUGCAGAUUAUUUAAGGUAGCUGUGGCUGAUGACUCCAAGAAUGCAGCUGCUAACACCUGGGUUAUAAAUAGGGGUAACUGCGGAGGAAGAGCAGAUACAUACCUGUCUCUAAGCCAAAACAUUUUAUUCAAGGAGCAUUUUCAGAAAAAAAACCAGACUAGGACAAUGGGAACAGUUUCUAAGAAAUAUGCUUAAAUGGCACUGUGCCAGGGCAAGGCAAGAGUGGUUACAAAAUAAGAGCAAAGACUUUGCUUAAUAUUCAGAGCUAUGGCUUACAGGAAUCCUAAAUGACAGAGGAGCUGGGCAACUCAAGAGAUUAGAUGGGCACUGCCACACAUCUUGCUAUGGCACUUUUUGAAUCUUGAAUAACAACAACAGCAACA